Molecule: long non-coding RNA, 642 nt
Filed under: Drosophila guanche
Lineage: Eukaryota; Metazoa; Arthropoda; Insecta; Diptera; Drosophilidae
Source: RNAcentral
GGCGACCACACUUACCGUCUUGCACUUGCACUUUGGGAGGGGGAAUGGGUUAAAUUUACAUUAAUUUAUGAUUCCACUAGCACAUUGUUAAGUUUUAUUUCUUUUAUUAUUUUCUUAGUUUUGGUAUGUUCCCUAAAUUAGCAUCGUAAUUACAUUUCCUACGUCCCUGCCUAUUCGCACCAAAGUAAGCCAUGAAAAGGGGUAUGAAUCAACACAGCCUCGUUUACCCUAGCCUCUCGUGUGUAACUUUGGUUGUGCGGUCCAAACGUAACUCCCUUUUGGCUUCUCCACGUGGUGAUCGCGAGCCCUUAGCUGCUUACUCUCUUCUAGGCGGCGCUGUCGUAGCUGCCCACGCCUGUGGCUGGAGCCUUGGCCCAUGGUGAAAUUACUAAUAGGUGACGGAUUCACCACAGUGCCUUCUCAUGACAGGCGUCAAAGGAUCAGCACAGCUACGAAAAGAGCAAUUCUCCAAGAUCUGCAGCAAAUGCUUCAUGAACAUCAUGCAUUGGUCAGGCUGUUCAAGACUGCUUUAGAGCGCAUGCCAAGUGAUUGCAAUUCGGUCAAGUCAAUUAAAUACAUUUGCAAAUAUGUCACGAAAGGGAGCGACAUGGCGGUUUUUGGUAUCCAAACAUCCAAUACCAA